RNAcentral lists this long non-coding RNA (2927 nucleotides) under Daucus carota (carrot). RNAcentral describes it as "long non-coding RNA (DCAR_LNC002001)". The record is from RNAcentral. Lineage: Eukaryota; Viridiplantae; Streptophyta; Magnoliopsida; Apiales; Apiaceae.
AUUGGGUUUAAAUAAGACACCUGGCUAUAACAGAUGAUCAGUCAUGCUAUAGUCCAUAAACCAAGCUUAUUCAGCAAGGUCGACAAAUAUUACGAAUUCCGGUAAUCCGGGCUGAAGGAGCCACCUUUCACGCUGGGCCGAUGUCUGAGCCUCUUACGCAAAACUACCCAAUAUAUUAAAUUUAAAAGCUACAGCUUUAACAAUAUGAUUUGGGAAAUUCAAGAAUGCAAGUGUCUUGUCUUGUUAAACAAAAUUCAUUUUGUAGCAAAUCGAAAUAGUUACUACCUUCAGUAGUUUGUAAAUCUUUUAUGAAAAUCGAAGUUUCGGUAGCAGGUCAAAGGUAUUAUCAAUUCAACUGAAGGUAUUCAACUUACCAGAUAUGCUUCACAAGAAUGAUGUUAAGAUAAAAAUGAACCAUUUAUAAAAGAGAGUUCGGGGUCAAGAGGAAGAUAAGAAUCGCUUACUUUUAACCACAAGAGAAGUAUAGAAAUACUUGCCUUAACUCCAAUGUCUAGCCACGAUUCUAAUAGCACUAUACCGCACAAUCAUAUCUUUCUAAGCAGCUUCUGACAAUACUCUUUCUAUAUAUGUCUUCUCAGAUUAUUCUUGCUUCAACUUGCAACACCAUCGGAUUAAUUUUGAACAUUCUCGAUAUACACGUCUUGAUCUAUUCUACACGAUAGUAGGAUAAUAUCUCAGUCGUUGGAUUAGAAGAACUAGCUAAUUCCAAGUAGUAUAAGUACCGCGAACAUCUACCCUUCGCAUAUCCGUAUAUAUAGUAAACAUGAGUAUAGACAGAUAUCCACAUAACAAUAUAUACACAUUGGAUCAGUCGGCACAUAACCACAUAGUCAAUAAACAAUCAAUACAUAUUCCGGUCCACAUAGAAUAUAAUGCUAUUAGCCAUCAAAUAUCAAAUAUUUAUUAAUAACUAAACACCCUUAAUUUCUAACAAAAAUUCGGCAGCAUUUCCUCUGUUUAUCGGACAAUCCACCUGUUUGCAAUACCAACCACCAUCCAAUACUAUUGCUAUCACAUGAAUUACUAUUAUAAAAAGAUGGCUUGACUUGCAGUAAACACAUAAAAAAAUCUGCCUUAACUUUUAGGGAACAUAUUAUAAAAUCUUUUAGCAAGAUUGCUAAUUUGUUAUAUGCAAAACACGUUUAAUUAAAUAUACAAGGUCAACUGAGCCAAUCUAUUUAAUAAUCAACCGUAUGCAAUUAAUCAAGUAUAACCUCGUAUUAUGCACUAACAAAGAAAGAAAACUAGAGCAAAUAAUUCAAAUAACCCUCACUCUAUGAUUUUUAAUAAAUUGAAAAUUUAUCGUUUCAAUACGAGAUUUUUAUGAGACACUCUUACACAUUAUUCCAACCUACUGUAAAAUUUUCGGAAAGAAAAUCCAAGCUUAAAGCAGUAAAACAGGCCUGUCAAUCAGGCACCAGAAACUGUUUUGCAAAACCAGCCCGACGCUAGAAUUUUUAAUAAAUAGAAAACUUGGUCUGAUUGUAUAAAAUUUUAAUGAAAUAUUCCAGAUACUAACAUCCAACUCUGGUAAAAAUUUCAGAAGCAAAGCUCGAGUUUAAGGUAGCAAAACAGGGCAUGGAACAGGACACAUAAACCUGCCCAGAAUUUUCAGCGCGUACCAUACUAAAACGGUCAUAUCUCCUAGCUCGCUAAUCGAAUCGAUUCGAUUCUUUCGCGCACAUAAACUAGACUCUGAAGAGCAUAUAAUCACAAAGAAAUUGAGCAUAUCACUCGAAUUUAACAGUCCAGAACAGAGCUACAAAACAGGACAGUGUUGCUGCGAAAUUAAGCAUAGUUCGAAAGUUAUGCUUCAAAUACUCAAGUUAGCUCAAUCCAAAUAUUCUAGACCUGAACUUACACUUAAACUCUUAAAACACCAUUCUGAAAACAUUUGUACAAAAUAUCAAACCUGAAAGCUUGAAUACCCAGUUAUAUAUUCCCGUAAUUCAAGUACCUAAGUCAUCCGAUUAUACAACUAGUUGGCGUACUAAUUAUAAUCGACCUUCAACAACCAAUUCAAAUAUCAAUUAAGCACACAAACAACCCAUGGCCAAUUACCUAUAACACAUAUGCAUAACAGGUGUAUAAGCAAGCAAUUUGCCUUAAUUAUUUAAUUAAUCAAUACUAAUCCCCAGCAAUUUAGUCCUCUAUUAUGCACAUAGCACAAUCCAUAUACACAUAUAUACACAAUUACUAACUUUAGUUUGUCCUUAAUCACCCAAUUAAGUGUGAGCCCCGAUUAACACAUAACAAUACAAGUGAAAUUCACAUAAUCAGAUUAUACCCACAAAAUACAUGUAAAUCGAUUAUAAGAAUUUUAACAGAGCUUUAUACCGAACUGUGUUGAACUCGAGGGGUGGAAUAAAGCUUGUGUCGUCGGACAAACAUGCCACAGCUGAUGCAGGUUUUGGAGACUCAAUAAUAGAGAAACCUGGAGAGAAAAGAAUCGAUAACUUCCGACCGGGAAGAAGCAGGAGGCAUGGACAAGAAGAAAUUCGCGGGUGACCACAACAGGUUUGGCCGGAAUCGGAACCAGCGGCGGCGACUUGUCUGGAGCAUAUCGGUCAGCGGGGAAGUUUAACAGAAUAGAAGGGAGGCUGUCGACAGAGAAAAGAUUUCGAAAGGGGGAGAGAUUAGAAGGAGACUGAUGUUUGAGAUAAAAAGGAAGAAGUAUUGUGUAUAUACAAAGGCGGUGGUGGAAUAAACGGUGGCGGUGCUAAAAAAAGGGGUACGUGGUUAAGUCUUUUACUUCCACGUGCCCAUAAUAAUCUGAAGACUCGGACCUGCUUUUAACUAAAUUAUCGGAAUAUCUCGCUAUUAUAAUAUCUUGGAAACAUCACCAAAAUAUUUUUAUAAAUCCCGGAAUAUUAUAAAACUAAUAAAAUAAAAGUUUCGGGAUUUAU